RNAcentral lists this ribosomal RNA (402 nucleotides) under uncultured bacterium. RNAcentral's name for it is "bacterial SSU rRNA". It matches the Rfam family "Bacterial small subunit ribosomal RNA", at positions 356 to 773 of the family's 1533-position model. The record is from RNAcentral.
GGGGGAUAUUGCACAAUGGAGGGAACUCUGAUGCAGCGAUGCCGCGUGACGGAAGACGGUCUUCGGAUUGUAAACCUCUGUCUUCAGGGACGAACACAAUGACGGUACCUGAGGAGGAAGCUCCGGCUAACUACGUGCCAGCAGCCGCGGUAAUACGUAGGGAGCAAGCGUUGUCCGGAAUUACUGGGUGUAAAGGGAGUGUAGGCGGGUCUCCAAGUCCGUUGUCAAAUCUAUCGGCUCAACCGAUAGCCGCGGCGGAAACUGGAAGUCUUGAGUGAAGUAGAGGCAGGCGGAAUUCCUAGUGUAGCGGUGAAAUGCGUAGAUAUUAGGAGGAACACCAGUGGCGAAGGCGGCCUGCUGGGCUUUAACUGACGCUGAGGCUCGAAAGUGUGGGGAGCAAAC